AUUGAACGCUGGCGGCAGGCCUAACACACGCAAGUCGAGCGGAUGAAGGGAGCUUGCUCCUGGAUUCAGCGGCGGACGGGUGAGUAAUGCCUAGGAAUCUGCCUGGUAGUGGGGGAUAACGUCCGGAAACGGGCGCUAAUACCGCAUACGUCCUGAGGGAGAAAGUGGGGGAUCUUCGGACCUCACGCUAUCAGAUGAGCCUAGGUCGGAUUAGCUAGUUGGUGGGGUAAAGGCCUACCAAGGCGACGAUCCGUAACUGGUCUGAGAGGAUGAUCAGUCACACUGGAACUGAGACACGGUCCAGACUCCUACGGGAGGCAGCAGUGGGGAAUAUUGGACAAUGGGCGAAAGCCUGAUCCAGCCAUGCCGCGUGUGUGAAGAAGGUCUUCGGAUUGUAGAGCACUUUAAGUUGGGAGGAAGGGCAGUAAGUUAAUACCUUGCUGUUUUGACGUUACCAACAGAAUAAGCACCGGCUAACUUCGUG
Molecule: ribosomal RNA, 484 nt
Filed under: uncultured bacterium
Lineage: Bacteria
Description: partial 16S ribosomal RNA
Rfam family: Bacterial small subunit ribosomal RNA
Source: RNAcentral